This 312-nucleotide long non-coding RNA is filed under the name Cricetulus griseus (Chinese hamster). RNAcentral's name for it is "lncRNA (ENSCGRG00015034878.1)". The record is from RNAcentral. Lineage: Eukaryota; Metazoa; Chordata; Mammalia; Rodentia; Cricetidae.
GGAAGCGCAGGAAUAAGAGGGAGAAAGCCCGGAAGCAAAGCUAACCCAUUGGAGCACCAAAUCUGUGGGUCCUCAUGGCUGGCCAGCAGCCAAGGCCCACCACCCACACCAUCACUUUCUGAGAGAAAGGCUGCCUGUGCCUGGAUGCCACCUUGAGACCACAGGAACGUCCUGUCCCGGCCUCCAAGUAGCUGCUGCCCGCCUUGACCAAGCAGCACUGAGGGACUUUCCCAAACCAAUUCUUGCUGUGUGGUGGAUGACUCAGAACCGUCGCUGUUGUCCAAGCUGAAGUUCUGGUCUCCAGUGUGGCUG